GGCGCUGCUUCCAGUUGUCUGAGGCUGCGAGGCGGCCACCGCGUCUGGAGCGAAGCUGAGGGGCUGCCCCGGCCCUGAGCGCCCGUCACCGCCUCCCGGCUCCCUGUGGGAAGACUCCAUGCCAGCAGCAUUCGGGUCUGGUGGGCGAGCUGACCAGCGCAGCCUGCCAGGGAAGCAGCCAGCCAGAACCUCGGGAGGAUGGAGCCGGACUGAGCAUCGUGGUUCCCUCACCCGCAAGCCCAAAUUCUCAGUCAUAAUCCUCGAACAACUAUGGAAGAUUCAUAUCUUUUUCAAUUGCCAGCAUUAAAAUAUCUAGACAUGGGAGCAACACAAGUGUCACUUGGACCAGUCCAAAACAUCCUCAUGAUGACUCUUGAAUUGGAAAAACUGAUAUUACCUAGGCAUCUCACCUGCUGCCUCUGCCAAUUUAAGAAUAAAAUAGACUCUGUCUGCAAAGUAGUCAAACUACAUUGUGAAUGUACCAGCAGCACACACUGCGAGGAGGAAGAGUCCAUAAGUACCACGAAAAGGGAGUUCAUGAAGGUUUUACAGACUCGAAAGAAGAAUACCAGCACCGAGCUGACCAUUGAACCGGAGGAGGCCUCAGCAUAGAGAAACAGCCUGUCCGUUCUCAUGAAUGAGCAGCUAGACUUAGGGAACAUUGCCUGAGAGAGAAGGCUCAGGAGGCGGCCCCAAGAGAACCAAAAGAGCUUCCCUUGGCGGAACACCCAGGAAAUGGGUGGAAAACUCCUUGAAAGAGGAGUCCUCCUCCAUCCAGGAGCACGGGGCGGUGGUGUCCACCACCUGGAGCAGUUCUCCAUGGGCAGCCAGCCCGUCUGCUGCCACUUCAAAAAUCCCAGCCGAGGCGAAAAACAAACCCAAAGACUCGAAAAACACGCUCCUCGGUUUGGAAGACGCAGACGCUCGAGUUCGGAACAUGAAGUUUCCCAGCCCCGUGUCACACACUGGAAAAAAUUACCGUUUUCAUAAAUCUUACUCUCGGCUUUGCCCAGAAUGCCCAGAGCCAGAGUGAGUACAGAGACGAAGGAAUCAGCACCCGAGAGGCCGGUGCGAGUCGCCAAGCGGCCUCCUUUCGCUGCGGUGAGAACCUCAUCAAGUCCCCGCCAAGAGAGGAGUCUCUGUCUUGGAGAGAUCAGGACGAACCUUGGCUCCAGUCCUUUCAACCUUCACACUCACCUGCAGGAAAGAAGACCGCAGAAAGCACGCAUGCUGCAAAUGGGGCGAACACCAGAGGCAUCGCGCUGCCAGAGAAAACCGUCGGUAGCAAAGGCACCGCCCAUGAGAAGGACGCCGGGAUGCCCGGCAACCUCGUGCCGGCUGUCAAGCAGUCCAGCGAGACGCAGUGGGAAUGUCACAACGUGGCCACCGACAUCGUCUCUGCCACACAGAAACCACACCCCGGAGACCAACUGGACAUGCAACUCAUCCAGCAGCUGUGGUCCCUCAUCCCCAACAGUGACGUGAGGAAGCUCAUUGCUCACGGGAUCCGGACUCUGAAAUGGACCGCUCUGAGCCCCAGGUGAGGCUGGCGUGUGCCAAGCUCCUCUCCGGAACCGGCCUCCUGAUGAAGCGUCUCAGUGAGCAGCAGGAAGUAAAGGUUCCCGAGGCAGAAUGGGAUACAGACCAGUGGAAGACUGAGAACUACAUCAGUGAGAGAAGGAAGACCAGGGUGAGCAGAACAGCCAGAGGCAAGUGAAGUGAGAAUAGAUCUUUCUUUCUUUCUUUCUUUCUUUCUUUCUUUCUUUCUUUCUUUCUUUCUUUCUUUCUUUCUUUCUUUCUUUCUUUCUUUCUU
Molecule: long non-coding RNA, 1813 nt
Organism: Sorex araneus (European shrew)
Lineage: Eukaryota; Metazoa; Chordata; Mammalia; Eulipotyphla; Soricidae
Exons: 6
Source: RefSeq, a predicted model, not a curated record